GCAUCCGUUGCUCAGCUGGAUAGAGUACUCGGCUACGAACCGAGCGGUCGGAGGUUCGAAUCCUCCCGGAUGCACCA
Molecule: transfer RNA, 77 nt
Filed under: Escherichia coli
Lineage: Bacteria; Pseudomonadati; Pseudomonadota; Gammaproteobacteria; Enterobacterales; Enterobacteriaceae
Also listed under: 3 other names
Description: tRNA-Arg
Rfam family: tRNA
About the family: Transfer RNA (tRNA) molecules are approximately 80 nucleotides in length. Their secondary structure includes four short double-helical elements and three loops (D, anti-codon, and T loops).
Source: RNAcentral